RNAcentral lists this small RNA (554 nucleotides) under Pongo abelii (Sumatran orangutan). Its description in RNAcentral is "processed transcript". The record is from RNAcentral. Lineage: Eukaryota; Metazoa; Chordata; Mammalia; Primates; Hominidae.
GAGACAGAGUUUCACCAUGUUGGCCAGGCUGGUCUCGAACUGCUGACCUCAGGUGAUCCGCCUGCCUCAGCCUCCCAAAAUGCUGGGAUUACAGGUGUAAGCCACCACGCCUGGCCUCUCUGAAUAUAUUUUUACAGAGUACUUUCACAUACACUGUCUUAUUAACCCUACAAGAUCAGUGGUAUUGUCCCCAUUUUUCUGAUUAAGAGAACUAGAUUCAGAGGUGAAGUUACUUCACCCAGAGAUCUCACAGCUAGUAAGAAGAGGAAUUAGGACGAGGACUCAGAUCUUGGGACUCACUCACCAGUGCUUUUUCUACUCUGUCUUGUGCUGCGGAGCCCUGGAGGUGCCCAUCUCAAGCACAGGCAAGGUCGGGUGUGGACUGUGUGGACUCUGAGAGCAGGUGGGGAUGGGUCUUUAGAGCCGAGGCUGCAUGUUGUGCCUGGGUCAGUCCACCUUCCUUCGCUUUAACCACCCGGCUGAAGCCAAGUGGAUGAAAAGCAUGAUUCCAGCAGGGGGCCGAGCCCCUGGGCCCCCCUACAGCCCUGUUCCUG